GAUGAACGCUGGCGGCGUGCCUAAUACAUGCAAGUCGAGCGAACAGACGAGGAGCUUGCUCCUCUAACGUUAGCGGCGGACGGGUGAGUAACACGUGGAUAACCUACCUAUAAGACUGGGAUAACUUCGGGAAACCGGAGCUAAUACCGGAUAAUAUAUUGAACCGCAUUGUUCAAUAGUGAAAGACGGUUUUGCUGUCACUUAUAGAUGGAUCCGCGCCGCAUUAGCUAGUUGGUAAGGUAACAGCUUACCAAGGCAACGAUGCGUAGCCGACCUGAGAGGGUGAUCGGCCACACUGGAACUGAGACACGGUCCAGACUCCUACGGGAGGCAGCAGUAGGGAAUCUUCCGCAAUGGGCGACAGCCUGACGGAGCAACGCCGCGUGAGUGAUGAAGGUCUUCGGAUCGUAAAACUCUGUUAUUAGGGAAGAACAAAUGUGUAAGUAACUAUGCACGUCUUGACGGUACCUAAUCAGAAAGCCACGGCUAACUACGUG
Molecule: ribosomal RNA, 497 nt
Filed under: uncultured bacterium
Lineage: Bacteria
Description: partial 16S ribosomal RNA
Rfam family: Bacterial small subunit ribosomal RNA
Source: RNAcentral